This 906-nucleotide ribosomal RNA is filed under the name Triticum aestivum (bread wheat). Its description in RNAcentral is "partial small subunit ribosomal RNA". Lineage: Eukaryota; Viridiplantae; Streptophyta; Magnoliopsida; Poales; Poaceae. The record is from RNAcentral.
AUGAGGGCUACUGACCUAAAUACAAAAACACUACAGAAAUACCCCCUCCCCUCUUUCCGGGAGAAGGUGGUGUCAAAUUGGUCCGGUGUUGGAUCUCGUCACCUUGGAAGAGGGUCGGUUGGAAUGCUUGUCCUACGUCUCAAGCGAAUCCGAGCUAUGGCGAAGAAGUGGUCGGCUAAUUUUCGUCUACCCACCACCUUGGCCAAAAAAUACCACACCUUGAUAAACUUUCUGGACAAGAUUGAGGAGUCCCGCAUGCUCUCUCCCAUCGAACUCCAUCUUCGAACUGCGGUCAAACUUUCCCUACACCGCCUCAAUGCGGAUCUGGCUGCUUAUUGGCGGCAACGUGCUAAAAUCAGAGGUUGUGUUCUCGGCGAUGAAAACUCGCCAUACCUUCACAUUUGUGCUUCUGUUCGCUUUAGGAAAAAACAAAUCAAAUCGAUGGAGGUGGACGGAGUCUCCUUCACCUCCCAGGGGGACAAGGAACGCAUCCUUCUGAGUUUCUUCAAGGACCUAGUGGGAACUUCGACUCGAGCGUCUUUCUCCUUCGAUCUCUCCUCUCUGAUGGCUGGGUCCUCCCUCUCCACCACUCAGGCUAGGGACAUUGUGCGCCCUUUCUCGAUCGAAGAAUUCAAGCUGGCUCUUUGGGGCAUGAAUGAUAACGCAAGCCCCGGCCCAGAUGGCUUUGGACCGGCUUUCUACAAAGCUAAUUGGAACCUAGUCAAAGAUGACCUGCUCAACCUCCUUAAUGAAUUUUUUUGCGACAAGGCUGACUUGAGACGCAUUAACAAAGCCUACAUUGUGCUUCUCCCCAAGAAGAUGGGAGCUAACCAUCCCGAGAACUUUAGGCCCGUUUUCCCUCCAAAACUGCGCGGUCAAAAUCGCCUCAAAAUGCCUGGCCAAUAG